This 373-nucleotide ribosomal RNA is filed under the name uncultured bacterium. RNAcentral describes it as "bacterial SSU rRNA". It matches the Rfam family "Bacterial small subunit ribosomal RNA", at positions 523 to 898 of the family's 1533-position model. The record is from RNAcentral.
AUACGGAGGAUGCAAGCGUUAUCCGGAUUUAUUGGGUUUAAAGGGUGCGCAGGUGGUUAAAUAAGUCAGUGGUGAAAGUCUGCCGCUUAACGGUAGGAUUGCCAUUGAUACUGUUUAACUUGAGUUUGGAUGAGGUAGGCGGAAUGUGUAGUGUAGCGGUGAAAUGCAUAGAUAUUACACAGAACACCGAUUGCGAAGGCAGCUUACUAAUCCACUACUGACACUGAGGCACGAAAGCGUGGGGAUCAAACAGGAUUAGAUACCCUGGUAGUCCACGCCGUAAACGAUGAUCACUCGCUGUUUGCGAUAUACAGUAAGCGGCCAAGCGAAAGCGAUAAGUGAUCCACCUGGGGAGUACGAUCGCAAGGUUGAA